GACGAACGCUGGCGGCGUGCUUAACACAUGCAAGUCGAACGGAAAGGCCCUGCUUUUGUGGGGUGCUCGAGUGGCGAACGGGUGAGUAACACGUGAGUAACCUGCCCUUGACUUUGGGAUAACUUCAGGAAACUGGGGCUAAUACCGGAUAGGAGCUCUUGCUGCAUGUUGGGGGUUGGAAAGUUUCGGCGGUUGGGGAUGGACUCGCGGCUUAUCAGCUUGUUGGUGGGGUAGUGGCUUACCAAGGUUUUGACGGGUAGCCGGCCUGAGAGGGUGACCGGCCACAAUGGGACUGAGAUACGGCCCAGACUCCUACGGGAGGCAGCAGUGGGGAAUAUGGCACAAUGGGCGGAAGCCUGAUGCAGCAACGCCGCGUGCGGGAUGACGGCCUUCGGGGUAUAAACCGCUUUCGCCUGUGACGAAGCGUGAGUGACGGUAAUGGGUAAAGAAGCACCGGCUAACUACGUG
This 468-nucleotide ribosomal RNA is filed under the name uncultured bacterium. Its description in RNAcentral is "partial 16S ribosomal RNA". It matches the Rfam family "Bacterial small subunit ribosomal RNA", at positions 28 to 507 of the family's 1533-position model. The record is from RNAcentral.